This 360-nucleotide ribosomal RNA is filed under the name Triticum aestivum (bread wheat). Its description in RNAcentral is "partial small subunit ribosomal RNA". Lineage: Eukaryota; Viridiplantae; Streptophyta; Magnoliopsida; Poales; Poaceae. The record is from RNAcentral.
AUGAAGAGAAAAGAGGAGGCUGAGAGAAACAGAGCCGCGAGAGAAAGGGAGAGGGAAGAGGAGAGGAAGGAGCACGAGCAGGGCGGCGCUCGCACCCAAACUCGACGGAUCAAGCACGGAGAGGAGACGAGGCGGAACUCGGGCGUGGAGACGAGGCGGAUCAGGGCAGUUCUCCUCCUGCGGGCGCUCGAGCCUAAUCCCAACGGGAUCUGUGGCUCCACCACCGACGGGGCCCUGCUGGCCUUCCCCCGCUGGCAUGGACGGGAUCUGUGGCUCCACCACCGACGGGGCCCUGCUGGCCUUCCCCCGCUGGCAUGGACGGGAUCUGUGGCUCCACCAUCGAUGGGACUUGAGACUUGA